GGUCAUAUCUGCAUUUGUAGGUAUGACCGUCCUCAGUAAAUGACAAACCUGUGGGGCGUAAGUAACUAAGUAGUAAUACUAUAAUGUCAGUAUGUAGUAUUACACUGAAACUGACUGUUAUGAUCGUGCGGACGUAAAAAUCAGGU
RNAcentral lists this non-coding RNA (146 nucleotides) under unclassified sequences. The record is from RNAcentral.